This 429-nucleotide ribosomal RNA is filed under the name Actinomycetes bacterium. Its description in RNAcentral is "Actinobacteria bacterium partial 16S ribosomal RNA". It matches the Rfam family "Bacterial small subunit ribosomal RNA", at positions 355 to 776 of the family's 1533-position model. Lineage: Bacteria; Bacillati; Actinomycetota; Actinomycetes. The record is from RNAcentral.
UAGGGAAUCUUCCGCAAUGGGCGAAAGCUUGACGGAGCAACGCCGCGUGAGUGAUGAAGGUCUUCGGAUCGUAAAACUCUGUUAUUAGGGAAGAACAAAUGUGUAAGUAACUAUGCACGUCUUGACGGUACCUAAUCAGAAAGCCACGGCUAACUACGUGCCAGCAGUCGCGGUAAUACGUAGGUGGCAAGCGUUAUCCGGAAUUUUUGGGCGUAAAGCGCGCGUAGGCGGUUUUUUAAGUCUGAUGUGAAAGCCCACGGCUCAACCGUGGAGGGUCAUUGGGAACUGGAGAACUUGAGUGCAGAAGAGGAAAGUGGAAUUCCAUGUGUAGCGGUGGAAUGCGCAGAGAUAUGGAGGAACACCAGUGACGAAGGCGACGUUCUGAUCUGUAACUGACGCUGAUGUGCGAAAGCGUGGGGAUCAAACAGG